This is a long non-coding RNA of Rosa chinensis, 322 nucleotides long. RefSeq lists it as uncharacterized. The record is from RefSeq and is a predicted model, not a curated record. The transcript is spliced from 3 exons. Lineage: Eukaryota; Viridiplantae; Streptophyta; Magnoliopsida; Rosales; Rosaceae.
UUAAUUCAAGAUAUCUAUGGUUGUAUAAAGGCUGUUAUACCAGAGUAUCAAGUCCAUGUCAAAGAUGCAAACAAGCUGGAAUCAAAGUGUGAGGUCAUCAUGGAGAACCUGAGGAGGGAAGACCUAAGAAUCACCCUCUGGGGUGAUGUUGCCAGAGACUUUGAUAUAGAAACCAUUCAGGCAUUACCACCACCAGUCCUUGCUGUAUUAACAAGUUUAAGAAUCACGAAAUUCCAAGAACAAAUGACAGCAUCUGGUACAAAUCACACCUGCAUUUUCUUAAAUCCAGCGAUUCCAGGAGCAGAAGAAUACACAGCUGAGU